This 940-nucleotide long non-coding RNA is filed under the name Chinchilla lanigera (long-tailed chinchilla). RNAcentral describes it as "lncRNA (ENSCLAG00000023454.1)". The record is from RNAcentral. Lineage: Eukaryota; Metazoa; Chordata; Mammalia; Rodentia; Chinchillidae.
GCUGAUGAGUGGUAGAGCUAAGUAAGAGUUGAACCCAGGCAAAAUGCCAGGACAUUUCUGCGAUUCAUUGCUCUGCUGCUUCCAGUGAAUGAAUGACCUGGGUUUGUGUUGAGUUUACUGAAGCCUUUCCUGAUGGCCUCCAGUGCAGAGCCUGGCUUCUGAGGCCUGCAGACUUCUGUCAGGUACUUGAGUUAAGCCUGCCCAGGAUCCGGGCUUGCUGGUGACCUUAUUCCUCUGAAGGUUGAGCCUGGGACCUGGGAUGGCAGCUGGAUACAUGGUUACCCAAGAGGUUCCUCUCCCAUGGUCCUGAGUGCAAGGGUUAAUGAGAGGAGUUCCUGGAGCAGCAAGUUAUCAGCCCAGGCUGAGCUGGAGGAGGGCAGCGUUCCCUGGAGGAAGAAGGGCAGUCACAGCCCCCGUCUGGCGUACUGCUUGGCACACAGUGGGAGCUUACUAAACUUGCUUGAAAAACAGCCCAGCCAGAGAUUGUGUUUCAGAGAUGGAAGACAAAUCCAAGCCAGCUUUCAGGUUGUUAGUUUUUAUUCACUAUAAUAUAUUUCAUUAUAUGGAAUAUUUCCUCCAAUAAUGCUUUUGUUUGCUUUUAUUUCCUGUACCCUCUCUGUUCUUUUUUUUUUUUUUUUUUUUUUUUUUUUUUUUUUUUUUUUUUUUUUUUUUUUUUUUUUGGUUUUUCUCCGGUACCGGGAACCGAACUCACGACCUUGCACUUGCCAGGCAGGCGCUUUGCUGCUGAGCUAAAUCCCCAGCCCCUCCCUCUCUGUUCUAAAUGAGAAUUUUCUGUGCUGCUUUUGCUAUACACAUAGAUAAUGGAGAUUUAAGUAAUUCUAUCUAUUUGUCUAUUAUCUAUCUAUCUAUCUAUCUAUCUAUCUAUCUAUCUAUCUAGGGACAGGGUCUCACUAUGUUGCCCAGGGUGGCCUUGAACUCC